GAAAAAUUGACUUGAAAUUAGCAAAUCAGGUAGUGAAAAUGGAAGACCAAAUUGCAGCUGAGGUUGAAAGAAGAUUGAAAGCUAUGAAUUUAGGUACCCAGACUGUUGCUCAAGUUCAACCGGUUCAGACCAUGAUUUGUGAGAUUUGUAGUGGACCACACUUUGCCAUGCAUUGUGCUGCAACCGCAGAACAAGUGCAAGCUAUAAAUUACCUGAGGCAGAAUAAUCCCUACUCAAAUACAUAUAAUCCG
This 251-nucleotide long non-coding RNA is filed under the name Lathyrus oleraceus (garden pea). RNAcentral's name for it is "Pisum sativum (pea) long non-coding RNA (PSAT_LNC008602)". Lineage: Eukaryota; Viridiplantae; Streptophyta; Magnoliopsida; Fabales; Fabaceae. The record is from RNAcentral.